Molecule: ribosomal RNA, 1776 nt
Filed under: Triticum aestivum (bread wheat)
Lineage: Eukaryota; Viridiplantae; Streptophyta; Magnoliopsida; Poales; Poaceae
Description: partial small subunit ribosomal RNA
Source: RNAcentral
AUGGCCGCCAGACUCCCUCUCGCCGCGUGCGUCGUCGCCUUCCACCUCUGCCUUCUCCUCUCGCCGUCCUCCUCACUCCGCCGGCUCUCGGAAGCGGAGAGCUCGCUAGUCCGCCAUGGCGUCGGCAUCAGGCCCGCCUACCACUUCCUGCCCGCCAAGAACUGGCAGAACGAUCCGAAUGGACCGAUGUACCACAAUGGCGUGUACCACAUGUUCUAUCAGUACAACCCUUUGGGUGCGGUGUGGGGCACCGGCAACCUCUCAUGGGGUCACUCCGUCUCCCGCGACCUCGUGAACUGGGACGCCCUUGACACCGCGCUCGACCCCACCGCCCCCUUCGACUACAAUGGCUGUUGGUCAGGCUCCGCCACAAUCCUCCCCGGCGGCAUCCCGGCCUUGCUGUACACCGGCCGCAUCCAAGGCGACAAGGAGGUGCAGGUGCAGAAUGUCGCCUUCCCCAAGAACCCUGCCGACCCGCUCCUCCGCGAGUGGGUCAAGCCUGCCUACAACCCCGUCAUACCACUCCCAGCCGACGUCCCUGGAGACAACUUCCGUGACCCGACCACGGCGUGGGUAGGCCGCGACGGCCUAUGGCGUAUCGCCGUUGCAGCCAAGGUCGGUGGCCCCAAUGGCAUUGCCUCCACGCUCAUCUACCGGAGUAAAGACUUUCGGCACUGGAAGCGGAAUGCCUUGCCGUUGUACACAUCGCGCGCUGCAGGCAUGGUCGAAUGCCCGGACUUAUUCCCGGUGGCGGAGCCUGGCGUGGAGGAGGGGCGACUUGGCUACGCGUCCGGACCAGCGAGCAGUGCUGUGAGGCACGUGCUGAAGCUGAGUGUGAUGAACACGACCCAAGACUACUACGCGGUCGGCAGGUAUGAUGACGUGGCAGACACCUUUGUGCCGGAGGUGGAUGUAGAGCGCAACGCCGACGAUUGCCGGACCUGGCGCCGCUUCGACUACGGGCACGUGUAUGCAUCAAAGUCCUUCUUCGACUCGAGCAAGAACCGGCGCGUGCUAUGGGCAUGGGCCAAUGAGUCCGACAGCCAGGACAACGACAUCGCCAGGGGCUGGUCCGGCGUUCAGACGGUUCCGAGGAAGGUGUGGCUGGACCAAGACGGUAAGCAGGUAAGGCAGUGGCCGAUCGAGGAGAUCGAGACAUUGAGGAGCAAACGAGUCGUCGGCUUGCUAGGAGCGCAGGUGAAUGCCGGUGGCAUGAACAAGAUCGUUGGUGUGGGCGCGCAGGCUGAUGUGGAGGCCAUCUUCGAGAUCCCGUCCCUAGAAGAGGCUGAGACUUUCCAGCCCAACUGGCUGCUGGACCCCCAAAAGCUAUGCGAGGAGAAUGGUGCGUCCGUGCCAGGCAGGGUCGGCCCUUUCGGUCUGCUCGUCAUGGCCUCCAGCAAUAUGCAGGAGCACACGGCUGUCUUCUUCAGAGUGUUCAGGCACAACCAGAAGUACAAAGUUCUCAUGUGCACCGACCUCACAAGAUCGACUGGGAGGGACAACGUGUACAAGCCGUCAUAUGGAGGGUUUGUGGACAUAGACAUCGAGCAGCAAGGGAGGAGCAUAUCUCUUAGAACAUUGAUUGACCAUUCGGUAGUGGAGAGCUUUGGAGGUGGGGGCCGGACAUGCAUCACGGCACGGGUGUACCCUGAGCACGCGGAGAACAAAAAUAGCCAUGUGUUCGUGUUCAAUAAUGGGACCGGACUCGUGAAGGUGUCCAAGCUCGAGGCAUGGAGGCUGGCGAUGGCUUCAGUAAACGUCGUGCAUGGCGGGUGA